AGCAGCCGCGGUAAUUCCAGCUCCAAUAGCGUAUAUUAAAGUUGUUGCAGUUAGAAAGCUCGUAGUUGAAUUUCGGGAUUGGCGCAUCGGUCGUGCCUUACGGGGUAUGAACUGGUGCAGUCAAUUUCUCACCUUCUGGAGAACCGCGAUGUCCUUAAUUGGGUGCCGCGGGGAACCAGGACCUUUACUUUGAAAAAAUUAGAGUGUUUAAAGCAGGCAUUUUUGCUUGAAUACAUUAGCAUGGAAUAAUAAAAUAGGACGGCAUGGUUCUAUUUUGUUGGUUUCUAGGACCACCGUAAUGAUUAAUAGGGAUAGUUGGGGGCAUUAGUAUUCAAUUGUCAGAGGUGAAAUUCUUGGAUUUAUUGAAGACUAACUACUGCGAAAGCAUUUGCCAAGGAUGUUUUCAUUAAUCAAGAACGAAAGUUAGGGAUCGAAGACGAUCAGAUACCGUCGUAGUCUUAACCAUAAACUAUGCCGACUAGGAAUCAGACGAUGUUAAUUUUUAAUGUACUCGUUUGGC
Molecule: ribosomal RNA, 520 nt
Filed under: uncultured Entrophospora
Lineage: Eukaryota; Fungi; Glomeromycota; Glomeromycetes; Entrophosporales; Entrophosporaceae
Description: SSU rRNA
Rfam family: Eukaryotic small subunit ribosomal RNA
Source: RNAcentral